Molecule: ribosomal RNA, 447 nt
Filed under: uncultured bacterium
Lineage: Bacteria
Description: bacterial SSU rRNA
Rfam family: Bacterial small subunit ribosomal RNA
Source: RNAcentral
UGGGGAAUAUUGGACAAUGGGCGCAAGCCUGAUCCAGCCAUGCCGCGUGAGUGACGAAGGCCUUAGGGUUGUAAAGCUCUUUUGGCGGGGACGAUAAUGACGGUACCCGCAGAAUAAGCCCCGGCUAACUUCGUGCCAGCAGCCGCGGUAAUACGAAGGGGGCUAGCGUUGUUCGGAAUUACUGGGCGUAAAGCGCACGUAGGCGGAUGUGCCAGUCAGGGGUGAAAUCCCGAGGCUCAACCUCGGAACUGCCUCCGAUACAGCACGUCUCGAGUCCGGAAGAGGUGAGUGGAAUUCCUAGUGUAGAGGUGAAAUUCGUAGAUAUUAGGAAGAACACCAGUGGCGAAGGCGGCUCACUGGUCCGGUACUGACGCUGAGGUGCGAAAGCGUGGGGAGCAAACAGGAUUAGAUACCCCGGUAGUCCCUGAGCGGGCUGGCAAGGCGCAU